CUUAGGAGGGAGACACCCCCGGGAACUGGGGCUAAUCCCUGAUAGGCGAGGAAGCCUGGAAUGGUUCUUCACCCAAAAGGCGUUGAAACCAUGCUUUUCAACGUCGCCUAAGGAUGGGGCCGCGACCGAUCAGGUUGUUGGUGAGGUAACGGCUCACCAAGCCUAUAACCGGUACGGGCCGUGAGAGCGGGAGCCCGGAGAUGGGCACUGAGACAAGGGCCCAGGCCCUACGGGGCGCAGCAGUCGCGAAAACUCCGCAAUGCGCGAAAGCGUGACGGGGCUACCCCGAGUGCCGUCCGCUGAGGAUGGCUUUUCCCCGGUGUAAUGAGCCGGGGGAAUAAGGAGAGGGCAAGUCUGGUGUCAGCCGCCGCGGUAAUACCAGCUCUCCGAGUGGUAGGGACGAUUAUUGGGCUUAAAGCGUCCGUAGCCGGCCUCUCAAGUCUUUCGUUAAAUCCAGCGAUUCAAUCGUUGGACUGCUGGAGAUACUGUUAGGCUAGGGGGCGGGAGAAGCCGACGGUAUUUUCGGGGUAGGGGUAAAAUCCUAUAAUCCCGGGAAGACCACCAGUGGCGUAGGCGGUCGGCUAGCACGCGCUCGACGGUGAGGGACGAAAGCUGGGGGAGCGAACCGGAUUAGAUACCCGGGUAGUCCCAGCUGUAAACGAUGCGGGCUAGGUGUUGGAGCGGCUACGAGCCGCUUCAGUGCCGCAGGGAAGCCAUUAAGCCCGCCGCCUGGGGAGUACGGCCGCAAGGCUGAAACUUAAAGGAAUUGGCGGGGGAGCAC
Molecule: ribosomal RNA, 781 nt
Filed under: uncultured archaeon
Lineage: Archaea
Description: bacterial SSU rRNA
Rfam family: Archaeal small subunit ribosomal RNA
Source: RNAcentral